Molecule: long non-coding RNA, 766 nt
Organism: Anthonomus grandis grandis
Lineage: Eukaryota; Metazoa; Arthropoda; Insecta; Coleoptera; Curculionidae
Exons: 3
Source: RefSeq, a predicted model, not a curated record
UUAAUAGAGAAAGUUUUAUGCACCAAUAAAAAUUUCUUAGAAAUCAAUAGUUUCUGAGAAAAAUCAACAUAUGUCUUUUUGGUGUACUUUCCAUGUUUCAAUUUCCAAAAAAACUGAUAACUUCUAGGCUACUAGAGAUAGAGAAUUGAUUCAAAAACUCACACGUGCUCCAUUUAAUAGAGAAACUUAUAUUCAUCAAUAAAAAAUUCUGAGAAAUCAAUAGUUUCUGAGAAAAAUCAACAUAUGUCUUUUUGGUGUAAUUUCCAUGUUUUAAUUUCCAAAAAACCUCAUAACUUCUAUAUUAUUAAAGAUAGAGAAUUAAUUUAAAAACUGACACGUGCUCCAUUUAAUAGAGAAACUUUUAUGCCUCAAUAAAAAUUUCUAAAAAAUCAACGGUUUUUGAGAAAAAUCAACAUUUGUCCAGUGUUGCCUAUUUAGUGUUUUAGGUUAUGUACAAAAAACGUCACAACUUCCUUGCCUUUGGAGAUAGAGAAUUGAUUCGAAAACUGACACGUGCUCCAUUUAAUAGAGAAACUUUUAUGCAUCAAUAAAAAUUUCUGAGAAAUCAACGGUUUUUGAGAAAAAUCAACAUUUGUCCAGUGUUGCCUAUUUAGUGUUUUAGGUUAUGUCCAAAAAACGUCACAACUUCCUUGCCUUUGGAGAUAGAGUAUUGAUUCGAAAACUGACACGUGCUCCAUUUAAUAGAGAAACUUUUAUGCAUCAAUACAAAUUUCUGAGAAAUCAAUAGUUUCUGAGAAAAAUCAAC